GCCGGGCCGCUGGUUCCCCGGCUUCUGUGGCCAGUCUUUGUGGAUUUUUCUCUUGCUCUCUCCCAGCAAGUGCUGGAGCUGGGGCUGUAUCAGUCCUUACUCUGCAUGCAUUUGAAACUAGCAGAUGAAAGCUGCUGCUGGAACCAGUCUAAUUGGAGAGAAUUGCAGUUUAGAGGACAGCGCCCUGUCACCAAACUGCCUUCUACUGGGACUCUCUGGUUCACCAUCUCUUGAUCAUCACACUGAGAACCAAACGUACUUAGGGGAACAAACUCAACCCCUAGCAGCCAGUUUAUCCUCAUCGUCUCCUUCUGACAGGCCAUGAGCAGAGACCUUCUUAACUGGAGCGCCUCCUCCGAAGUCGGAUAACUGAGUAACUGGAUUUACGGAUGCUGAAGUGAGAGCCUUCUCUGCUUCCUGCGAUGGCUGUCUUAGGGGAGAGAGCUGAACCCCUUACCAAAAACAACCAACCAAACAUAAAACGUAGAGAAAGGCUUAGUGAUCCUUCUUAGAGAUGAAGGUGGGAUGGCUGUGCACAGUGGCUCUUUUCCCUGGAGGUGCCAAAAAGCUGUAGCUGUGGAUUCAAUGUGGACUCAGUGUGACAGAAACCGGAGCUCCAUAGAACUGUGAGCCAACGGGCCGGGACAGCAAGGGGGUUGGGCACUCAGCCUGGGGAAAUGCUUGCUACUCAGAAAAAGGUAAAACAGCUUCUAGAAUGUUGAACUAGAAUGUUGCUUUCCUGUAGUGUCUAGCAUGGAAUCCCUUGUUUUAUAUUUUCGUAGAUGAGAAUAUCUGGGUUUUUCUGUCUGAAUUUCCUGUGUAAUCCCCACUCCAUCCAGCUUAUCUCCAUUUGGUUAUUUGCCUGUCUACUGUUGGUUGGUAGACAGUCUUUAUGUAUUGUGGCCUUUCUUUUCCUGAGAGUUGUAUAGAAAGGCUUGUUCUCCCCAGACAGAAAGCCCAAAGAGAUGAUUCCAUCCGAGCCCAUCCUGGCGACCUCGUGAGUUUACUGUGAAGAGUGACUUACGGGGGUAGGAAUGACUCAGGCAGCUGCAUCACAAAAAAAUGCUCCCCACACCAGCUCGUGAAAGCUGCACCAUCAGAGCUUCCUGUGUGACGGGCGGGCAGCUACAUCACUGAAAGCUCUCCUCUGGCUCACAGAGCCUGGGAGUCUUAACUGGUUUCCUAACUUCCUGGAUCUUCCUCGUGAGUUUCCCCGAGCUUUGGGACCCAGCCUCCCUCCACAAAGCAACGUUUCAGCCCCUAAGAAGCAGCUACUUAGCACACGGUCUGAAUGACUCAUGGAUGACAUAGGGGGCCUGCAAGAUGGUUCAGGGUAACGGGGUUUGUCCCCAAGUCUGGCCAGCUGAGUUCCUUCCCUGGAACUAGCAGGAGAGAAACAAGUUCCAAAAGUUCAUCUUCAGAACCAUCCCUCCAAGGCCUCUGCAUCAGCUCCUGCUUCCUGACCUGCUUGAGUUCCAGUCCUGACUUCCUUUGGUGAUGAACAGCAAUGUGGAAGUGCGAGCUGAAUAAACCCUUUC
Molecule: small RNA, 1538 nt
Filed under: Rattus norvegicus (Norway rat)
Lineage: Eukaryota; Metazoa; Chordata; Mammalia; Rodentia; Muridae
Description: uncharacterized ncRNA RGD1596092
Source: RNAcentral